UACGAAGGGGGCUAGCGUUGUUCGGAAUUACUGGGCGUAAAGCGCGCGCAGGCGGUCUUCCAAGUCAGUGGUGAAAGCCCGGAGCUCAACUCCGGAACUGCCAUUGAAACUGUUGGACUUGAGUACGAGAGAGGGUAGUGGAAUUCCCGGUGUAGUGGUGAAAUGCGUAGAUAUCGGGAGGAACACCAGUGGCGAAGGCGACUACCUGGCCUGUUCUUGACGCUGAGGCGCGAAAGCUAGGGGAGCAAACGGG
RNAcentral lists this ribosomal RNA (253 nucleotides) under uncultured bacterium. RNAcentral's name for it is "partial 16S ribosomal RNA". It matches the Rfam family "Bacterial small subunit ribosomal RNA", at positions 524 to 776 of the family's 1533-position model. The record is from RNAcentral.